This 270-nucleotide ribosomal RNA is filed under the name Triticum aestivum (bread wheat). RNAcentral's name for it is "partial small subunit ribosomal RNA". Lineage: Eukaryota; Viridiplantae; Streptophyta; Magnoliopsida; Poales; Poaceae. The record is from RNAcentral.
AAGAGGAAGAUACCGAUGAUAGUGCUCAAGUUGGAUUUCAGAAAAGCCUUUGAUAGUGUUAAUUGGACUUGUCUCAUGACUCUGAUGCAGCAAAGAGGUUUUGGUGCUCGUUGGAUUUCUUGGGUCUCUUCCAUUCUUCGUUCUGGCAAAGCCAAGGUUAUGAUGAACGGCUGUCUCAGAGAUGAUAUCUUUUUCAACUGUGGGGUUCGGCAGGGCGACCCGCUAUCUCCGUAUCUCUUCAUUCUGGUUGCUGAUAUACUGCAACGUAUG